Molecule: long non-coding RNA, 2384 nt
Organism: Scylla paramamosain (green mud crab)
Lineage: Eukaryota; Metazoa; Arthropoda; Malacostraca; Decapoda; Portunidae
Exons: 2
Source: RefSeq, a predicted model, not a curated record
GAGAGAGAAAAAAAAAAAAAAAACAAACGUUAAUUUGGUUACGAAGAAUUAGAGUUGGCAAGAAAGCCGAAAAUCACCCAAAAAACUAUCUUCUUAUCCCCUGAUCUUUUCGUUCUCUUGGCCGGAACCGACCUUACAUAAAACAUCAUUGAAGGAAAGAAAGAAAGAAAAAGAAAUGAAGAAAGCUCUGUGAACAUACGUACCAAGCCUACAAUCACCCAACAAAACACCAAGCUAUUCAUUGUACCAUUCUACCUACUGAACCAUCUAAGAAAAUACCAGAGUUCCCCUUGCAACACGCCACCCGUGACGUAUAGACCAGCUGGAGAAAAGAAAAGGAGUACUCGUAAGAUUUAGCAGGAGUCCAAACUCUCCCCCGAGGCCAAACAGAACCAAGAGACAAGACCCAGAACUGAACCACCUAAGAGAAUAUCAAAGUCCCCCAUUGUAAUAUGCCACCUGGCCUUAUCAGUAAGCCAGCUGCUGCGCACGACACUAGCUGCACACGGCACGCUACCCAUCCUUGCACACGACAUCAAGAGGCGCCUUAUAAGAUUCAGUUUGGUCAGGCGAGACAACAGGUGACCGAGAGGCAAGGAGGCAGCCUUACCUGAAAGCCUCCCUCCUCCUCCUCCUCCUCCUCCUCUCCUCCUCCUCCUCCUUCAGCCAAUGACAGCCAGCAUGACAUCACUGGCCAAAGUGCAGGCACUUCCUUCACCAUCCCUGCACUGUGCCACCAUCCUACAGUGAAAUAUGGUGACACCCUACUUGCACUAUACCUACAAUACAGUGAGAGUGCCAGCCCAGCCUCCCCAACAGUGCCACGGUGCCAGACCAGCAUAUGGCACCUUAGCUGACAGUGACUGACUCCCACUGUACCGUACUUCACCAUACGCAGUCACUAUGGGCUGUACCACUGCACCAUACUGAUGUACCACCCGGUACAUGGCAAGGCAAGGCACUGUAACUGUGGAGGAUGCAGGGAAGGCACCAUACUCACCAUAGUCGCUGUAUUUAAUGGUGAUGCCAAGGUAUUACUGGGAGGAUACCAUAACAAGGCACAGGAGAUGUCACCAUACCUCCAUAGUCAUCAUUACUGGGACACCAUAGUACUGUAGAAGUCACCAUACCCAAGGCACCAUACAUACAUACAUACAUACGAGGUCACCAUACCAAGUCCCAAGUAGAAAGGACCUCCAUCACCAUGAAUUCACCACAACAACGCCUGCAUCACUACCAGGACACCAUGCCCCGGUCCCAUCACCAUCAGAACACCAUACCAGGGGUCCCUUCACCAUCAAGACACUGUACCAGGAAGCAGUCACCACGAAGUCACCAUUAGGAAGCUGUAUCAUCACCAGCUCACCAUCCCAGGACCCCCAGUCACCAUCAAUGCACCAUACCAAGAUUACCACCAUCAUAUCACCAGUUACUAAGAAGCCAUCACUAUCAAGGAGGCCUGUCACCAUGAAGUCACUGUAAGACCUCACCAUCACCCGGUCACUAUAGAAGGGCUCCAUCACUAUAAGACUCCAUAAAUGGCCCUAUCACCAUUCUAUCACUAUACUCACCAUACUAGUAAGUCACUAUGCUGAAACACCAUCACUGCCAUGCACUAUACAAAGCAGUACAUCGCCAUGGCACCAUCAUCACCAUCACUGUGUUGGCACCAUUCUCUUGACACCAUAUUCGGCCAUCACCAGCACCAUACAAGACACCAUAACAGUCUUUACACUCAAUUAAUAUUCAUUGUAAUUUUUUUUUAUCAUUAUUAUUUAGUUCAUAUAGAUAUUUACUUUUUUUUUAUGAAUGUGAUGGAUGGUGUGUGUAUGAAUGUCUUCCUCAGAACAUGUAUACAUAUAGUGCUUGUAUAUGUGUAUUAUGCACUGAGGGAUUGGAGUAUGCAUGUGAUAUAUAUAUACUUUUAACACACACACACACACACACACACACACACACACACACUUUCACAUAGACUAUAAUUACAUACAUAUUCAGUAUUUACAAGUCAUAUUCUCAUUUUCAUAAUAUUACUUGAGGUUUAAACAACAACAACAACAUCAAUAACAACAACAACAACAACAACAACAACAACAUCAACUUCUACUACUACUACUACUACUACUACUACUACUACUACUACUACUACUACUACUACUACUACUACUACUACAUUACUAUCUAUAAAUUCCUUCCCUCUUCAGCCUUGUAUCCAGGAAUCAUAUUUUUAAGUUUCUACAGGUGGAUUAACUUCAUCUCUAAAGCUCCAUAUGUGUGGAUCAAUUUAAGUUAAUUAUAUUAAAGGUUUAUAUUAAAACCACACAAAAAAAAUUACUGUAUAAGUAAUUUUACUAAGUGUAUCAUUAUAAACAUUCAUUUUUACA